RNAcentral lists this ribosomal RNA (657 nucleotides) under uncultured bacterium. RNAcentral's name for it is "bacterial SSU rRNA". It matches the Rfam family "Bacterial small subunit ribosomal RNA", at positions 8 to 710 of the family's 1533-position model. The record is from RNAcentral.
AGAGUUUGAUCCUGGCUCAGGAUGAACGCUGGCGGCGUGGAUAAGGCAUGCAAGUCAAGGGGGCCCGCAAGGGCAACCGGCAGACGAGGUAGUAACACGUAGGUACGCACCGGAGAGUCGGGCAUAGCUAGUCGAAAGAUUAGGUAAUUCCCGAUAGUCUCGAAAGAGUAAAGAUUUUUUGCUCUCUGAGCGGCCUGCGGAAUAUCAGCUAGUUGGUAGGGUAAUGGCCUACCAAGGCUACGACGUUUAGGGGAGGUGAGAGCCUGACCCCCACCGAUGGUACUGAGACACGGACCAUACACCUACGGGUGGCUGCAGUCGAGAAUCUUCCACAAUGGACGAAAGUCUGAUGGAGCGACGCCGCGUGAUCGAUGAAGUCUUUCGGGAUGUAAAGAUCUUUUAUGAACGAGAAAGUUAUUGAUCAGUUCAUGAAUAAGAGGUUGCUAAACUCGUGCCAGCAGCAGCGGUAAUACGAGUGCCUCGAGCGUUAUCCGGAAUCAUUGGGCGUAAAGCGUGUGUAGGCGGUCAUGUUAGUCUCCUGUAAAAUUCUUCGGCUUAACCGGGGGCGCGCGGGGGAAACGGCAUGACUUGAGGAUGCGAGAGGUGAGUGGAACUCUAGGUGUAGGGGUGAAAUCCGUUGAUAUCUAGGGGAACACA